RNAcentral lists this small nuclear RNA (173 nucleotides) under Staphylococcus aureus. RNAcentral's name for it is "SaV21". Lineage: Bacteria; Bacillati; Bacillota; Bacilli; Caryophanales; Staphylococcaceae. The record is from RNAcentral.
GUGACUUCCACCAUUUUAUAGUCAAAUUGCUUUAGUUCGUUUGGUUUAACGCCGACACUAGCAAAUGUAUAAUCAAAGAACUUCACAAUAUUGUUGCCUAAGAAGCCUUUGAAUUCAAUAGUGUCAUUUCCAGCAAUUUGUUCGGCAACAAUACUUGCUGCACGAUGAGCGCC